GAUGAACGCUGGCGGCGUGCUUAACACAUGCAAGUCGAACGAAACACUUUUACAGAUUUCUUCGGAAUGAAGUUUUAGUGACUGAGUGGCGGACGGGUGAGUAACGCGUGGGUAACCUGCCUCACACAGGGGAUAACAGUUGGAAACGGCUGCUAAUACCGUAUAAGCGCACAGUACUGCAUGGUACGGCGUGCAAAACUCCGGUGGUGUGAGAUGGACCCGCGUCUGAUUAGCUAGUUGGCAGGGCAACGGCCUACCAAGGCGACGAUCAGUAGCCGACCUGAGAGGGUGACCGGCCACAUUGGGACUGAGACACGGCCCAAACUCCUACGGGAGGCAGCAGUGGGGAAUAUUGCACAAUGGGGGAAACCCUGAUGCAGCGACGCCGCGUGAGCGAAGAAGUAUUUCGGUAUGUAAAGCUCUAUCAGCAGGGAAGAAGAAAUGACGGUACCUGACUAAGAAGCACCGGCUAAAUACGUGCCAGCCGCCGCCGUAA
RNAcentral lists this ribosomal RNA (496 nucleotides) under uncultured bacterium. Its description in RNAcentral is "partial 16S ribosomal RNA". It matches the Rfam family "Bacterial small subunit ribosomal RNA", at positions 28 to 523 of the family's 1533-position model. The record is from RNAcentral.